Non-coding RNA from Pelobates cultripes (western spadefoot toad), 319 nucleotides. The record is from the annotation of a GenBank genome assembly. Lineage: Eukaryota; Metazoa; Chordata; Amphibia; Anura; Pelobatidae.
UAUAUCUGGGUAUACACUGUGGUAUCACAAGGGCCACCCAGAACUGGCUCAACUCCCGUCAAGCCAAGUUCCCGGAAGAGAUCACCCAGCUCGUCUUGCUAGAGCACUUUUUCAAUGUGCUCCCAAACGAGAAGGCGACAACGCAUUCGUAUGUCAAUCCAUAUCAACUUUCGAUGCCUUUGACUGCGCCUACCAUGGUGACCAAGGUUAAUGGGGAAUCAGGGUUUGAUUCCAUACAGGGACCCUGACAAACAGCUACCACAUGCAAGGAAGGCAGCAAGCGCACAAAUUACCCACUCCCAACGCGGGAAGGUAGUAA